UGGCGCCCAACGUGAGAGCUCAAGUACGAGGGACACAGUGAGGGACGCCGUCGAGGUCAGCUGGCACGGAAGGAUUAAGAAACCCAGAGGAAAGCAUCAUGGGAACCUGCCAAGGACUCGCACUCUGGUAAGCAGAUGGCGAAUAUGGGACAGGAAAUCAGCCAGCAUGAGUUGUUCAUAGAGAGUUUAAGUAAGGCUUUAAAGGUGCGGGGAGUAAAGGUGAAAAUAAAACGAUUGUGUAAAUAUUUUGACUAUAUUCAGGAUGUCUGCCCUU
Callithrix jacchus (white-tufted-ear marmoset) is the source of this 274-nucleotide non-coding RNA. NCBI's taxonomy places the organism in Eukaryota, Metazoa, Chordata, Mammalia, Primates, Cebidae. The record is from Rfam.